UACGUAGGGCGCAAGCGUUGUCCGGAAUUAUUGGGCGUAAAGAGCGCGCAGGCGGCUUGGUAAGUCGGAUGUGAAAUCCCGAGGCUCAACCUCGGGUCUGCAUCCGAUACUGCCCGGCUAGAGGUAGGUAGGGGAGAUCGGAAUUCCUGGUGUAGCGGUGAAAUGCGCAGAUAUCAGGAGGAACACCGGUGGCGAAGGCGGAUCUCUGGGCCUUACCUGACGCUCAGGCGCGAAAGCUAGGGGAGCGAACUGG
This 253-nucleotide ribosomal RNA is filed under the name uncultured bacterium. Its description in RNAcentral is "partial 16S ribosomal RNA". It matches the Rfam family "Bacterial small subunit ribosomal RNA", at positions 524 to 776 of the family's 1533-position model. The record is from RNAcentral.